Molecule: transfer RNA, 69 nt
Filed under: Muntiacus reevesi (Reeves' muntjac)
Lineage: Eukaryota; Metazoa; Chordata; Mammalia; Artiodactyla; Cervidae
Also listed under: 5 other names
Rfam family: tRNA
About the family: Transfer RNA (tRNA) molecules are approximately 80 nucleotides in length.
Source: Rfam by way of RNAcentral
CCUGGUGGCUCAGACGGUAAAGUGUCUGCCUAUAAUGCAGGAGACCUGGGUUCAAUCCCUGGGUCAGGA